RNAcentral lists this long non-coding RNA (533 nucleotides) under Callithrix jacchus (white-tufted-ear marmoset). RNAcentral's name for it is "lncRNA (ENSCJAG00000065750.2)". Lineage: Eukaryota; Metazoa; Chordata; Mammalia; Primates; Cebidae. The record is from RNAcentral.
AGUGAAUUCAAAUCUACCUCACUCCCAGACCUCAUGAAACCAACUGAUCUAAUUUCUGUCACUAAAGACAAUUCUAAUACUGCAUGUAUUAAGACGAAGGAGGAGGAAGGUUGGAGAAGAGGGUAAAGGAAGAGGAGAAAGAAGAAAGGAAAGAAAAACUAAGACGCUAUUUUAAAUAAGAGGCAAACCAAGAGAAAACUAUCUUACCAGAUUACAUUCCCAAAAGUGAGCUCUGCCAUCACAAUGCAAAGCUGCUUAUUUGCAGUGUUCAUUUUCACUUAAGGGCAGUCCAGAGUGGCACAUCAAAGAAGAUCUGAUGCCAGAACUCCACCAUCAGAAACAGCAAAGCCCUUCCCUGUCCUGGACAGGAUCCCCAGGUGCCUACUCUCUUCAGUGCUCACCUGACUCUUCCUUCUCAUGAAGAGGCUCAUUUAUGCUUCCGGAUUGAAACUUCUCAUUAUCUCGGACCAUUGAAAGUAGAUGAGAGUGAUAAAAACAAGAAAGAACUAAUGAAAUUCUAUUUACCUUCCAAG